This is a long non-coding RNA of Astatotilapia calliptera (eastern happy), 2226 nucleotides long. The record is from Ensembl. NCBI's taxonomy places the organism in Eukaryota, Metazoa, Chordata, Actinopteri, Cichliformes, Cichlidae.
AAAGUUAAAGAUUUCCUUUAUUACAAAGUCGGCAUGUUGAUGACAUUCCACAAAGGCAAAAAAUACAAGAACCCAAAAAUACAGCAAGUCUUUGAUGAGGGAUUCAUGCUACAUGACUGCAGGACCAGAGAAACUAAGAGGACAGGUAGAGCAGAACCAGGACAUCGUGUUCUUCCUCAGUUUCCUCCUGAUAUAGUAAGAACUUUGUUUUUCUACAUCCAUUCAAUGCCAAAUGCAAAAAUAAAUAAAUAAACCAAACAGUUACUGAACAUGUUUCCUAUACAGCAGAAGAAAGGGAAGCAACUGCUUUUAUUUAAUCAAGAGCUGAAAAAGAAAAUUCUUCUUUUUUUGAAUGAGUUGGUUCUUUUUUGUAUUCUUUUAGGACUUGAUUAUUCUUUGCUGGGACAACGUUUUUGCUUUUUUUUUUAAAGAAAUGUUGUCCUUUUUCCUUAUAUAAAAUUAUGAAACUAAUUUAUCUUCAUUCAGCAGACAAGGAAGAGCAGAUGAAAACUAGAUUUUACCUAAUAUUUAAUAAAAUAUUUCUGCAGCUGAGUGGUAAAAGAAUGUAGUCUCUUUGAAAAAAAUCUACCCAGCAGGAUGUUUAGUAACACCGAGCAGCAAACAGCAUGUAAAUGGUGUCUCAGCAGGACUGCGCUUCACUCCUAGAACUAUCAAUAUAAAGAUGCAUGCCUUGACUUCACAGUAAAAAACUGGUAAUAAAUACACGGCUCACUGUCAGGUAGCAAAAGAUACAAAUGAUGCUAUCUGUGGAUUCCACAUUAUCUGUGGAAGCCAUUAAAGAAGCUCUGAUUGACCUCCAGAGAUACAAAGAAGGUUCUUCAUAGUGAACCACACACAGAGGCAUACAUAUAUGUAUAUAUUUAUAAAUUAAUUACACAGGUUCACACAGUCAAAUAAAAAAAAACCCCAAAUCAUGUCCACUCUUUUCAAGAAGCUCUAGAAAUUCUGCAGGAUUUAAAGUAGCAGUACUUGUAAGACUUACUAAAACACACUUUUCAUCUCUCUUUUUAAAGCAAGGGUGUCAAACUUAUGGUCCACAGGCCAGAACCAGCCUGCCAAAGGAUCCAAUCAGGCUUGUUGCAUAACUUUUCCAAGUGUGAAAUUUGCAAAGAAGACAUUAAUUUUAGGUUGUCAUUUUCUUUUGCACCGGUAAGCAAAACGUUCUGAAUAAACAAUGAUGAAAGUGUUAUUGUCCAUCUGAAUCAUCAUUAGUCUGAAUGUGGAAAAACAACCAUUUUUCUUAAAGAUGUUUCAGUUUGCGCAUCAUCAGUUUUAUAAAUAGAUCAUUAGCAAUAACCUGAAUGUACUGAAACUGCUCUUCACAAAAAGAAAGGGGAACAAUUAGUCAGAAGCUUCAGUGAUGCAGGCGGCCCACUUGAGCUGUAAGUCACUUAUGAGCAAAGAUGAGUCUGAUACCCUUGUUCUGAAAAUGCAAAAACCACAUUUCCUCAUUUUCCGUGACGUUUCUGUCAGACUGCGGUUCAGGCCGUUACAGGCGACCAGUUGAGCCCAUUGGUUACAUAAAUGGUCUACAUUGUAGACUCUACAACACAUAAAGCACCCUGUGUGAAGGGGAAACUAGGUUCUUAAACUUUUUUUUUUUUUUUCAAAAACACAUCAGAUUCGAGACCUAUUUUUUUACUUUUAGAGGCAUCUGUGGGCAGAACUUGUUGCUGUGUAAACAUACCCAGUGGAGCAUUUUACAAACUAAUCUAAUCUUUCAGGUAUUAGAAGAAAAAAAAAAAAAUCUUUUUCCAAAGGACACUUUUUUUCUGCUAAUAUGGUGCUACUUUAAUUUGUGUUGUCAAAUCCAUAACCUUCAUAUUUUCAUAUAAAAAAAACCAGCAAAUUACAGCCAGAAGCUUCUAAUUCCUGUCAAUUAUUUCCAACUAAGUAAAGGAUGGAGAUGCCGCCCUUUCAAACAAGGCACAUUUGAGUGUGAAACUUGAAUAAGGCCUUUUUAAACACAAGCUGUGGUUAUCAUUAAGCUUUAAGGCGAACUGAAAGAAAGUGAAAAUGAUCCCACCCAAUUGUCGACGCCACCUAAAUUUGAAUACAGACAUAAAAAGGAAGACUUGCACUUUUUUGUUCGUAUCAGUUUUAAACAGUGUGAAAAAUAUCAGCUUUCAACAUGAUUGCCAUCUCCUGCCUCCAAAGAAAUAAAUAUUAAGAAAAGCAGACAUUUAGGCUGAAACUAUGCUUUUU